AGCUUUUUGCAGUAGCAGUAUUGUAGCUAGUGGAGUUUAUCUGAGUCACAAUUACUGCUAAUUGAAAAAAUAAUUUUCAGUAAUUACAGCUUCACUAAAGAAUCCUGCUUUUGGCAUAAUAGUAAAAUAU
Molecule: small nuclear RNA, 130 nt
Organism: Vulpes vulpes (red fox)
Lineage: Eukaryota; Metazoa; Chordata; Mammalia; Carnivora; Canidae
Gene: U4
Rfam family: U4 spliceosomal RNA
About the family: U4 small nuclear RNA (U4 snRNA) is a component of the major U2-dependent spliceosome. The structure of U4 snRNA from yeast and human has been reported.
Source: Ensembl